This is a long non-coding RNA of Trifolium pratense (red clover), 186 nucleotides long. RefSeq lists it as uncharacterized. The transcript has 2 exons. The record is from RefSeq and is a predicted model, not a curated record. NCBI's taxonomy places the organism in Eukaryota, Viridiplantae, Streptophyta, Magnoliopsida, Fabales, Fabaceae.
GAGCAACCUCUUCGAGAACUUCCACAUUGACCGCAUUCAAAGCCUUCAGAUUGACAAAUAUGAGAGCAAUGGUGGUGGCUUAUGCAAAAUCUCUGUCCCUUUGACCUCUGAUACCUCCUUCCCUCAGUAGCUGAACUUUGGGGUGCCAUGGAAGGUUUAAAGCUGGCUUGGGAGCAAGGUUUGAGG